AAAAAAAACCAACAGUCUUAUAUUAUACCUUUGCUAUCGAUUUCCAAUUUUUAUAUUAAAACAUUUCAUCAAAAAAACAGAACAAACCAUAUAAUCAUCACUCAAGCAAAUUAUACAUGCUGACACAUUUAAACUUUGAAUAGUUAACCAAACGAUACUGAAUCCUCAAGCAUCAACCUUCAAAUAUCACACACAAUCAAUAGCCUUAUAACACUAUUACAAGUAAGACAAUUUAAAUCUUUUCAGAAAGAAUACCAAGCUAAACUUAAACGGAGCCAUAUGGUAACAUAAAUAAUAGGAUAGAAACAUGAUCUUAAAACUACCAAAGCUGCUCACUUAUCAUAAACCACAAUAGUCAGCCAACAAAUUCUUUCAAUACAAUUAUGCUAUAUGAAUUAUCUCUAACACUUACAGUCCUUAACCUGUAAACUAAACUUCAGUUUUACUUGAAACUCCAUAAAUCAUACUAAAGCCUACAUUCAUUCAAGAAUAGAUGUUAAAUAUAGAACAUACUUGCAUAACCAUGGUUAGCUUCAUUUGUCACAAAAGUAUCGACGAAACCUGCUCCUGUAACUUCUAAACAUGCUAUCUAACAUUGAAACUAAAUAUUUAACUCCAAACACAAUCCCCGAUUUAUAAUAUGCAAGUAACAACUUAUUUAACACUUAUCAUUACAGGUUCUACUACAUGAUAUGAAACAGUAAAAAAAACAGUGAAACACUAAGUCAACACAGCUUGUAUUCCAUCAAAUUUUCAGUUGAAUUAUGUAAUCAACAUCCAGUCAGUGUUCAUGGACUAGAGGGAUACCUGGAAAUGAAAGAAAAUAAGAGGUGAGGGAUCAGUAAUAGUAGUAGCAAAAGCUAGCCCAAAUGCAGUCAAUGAAACAAUGAAACCAGCUUAUGAAACCAAUGGAACAGUAGAAAAACUUUCAAACCAAACUCUUCACAAGCCCAGAUUCAAUCCAUUUUCACCCCAGAUGACUCGGAAAUCUUUUCAAAAAUUGAAGACUUCAGAAAUCACUGACCAAAACUGAAUGAACAACCGUUUUUAUAAAAUUUUAACCUUUUUUUGCAUAAUUUUUUCCCUCCAAGUAUGCCCUAAAAUCUCAUGUAACAAAGCCUUUAUAGGCAAACCAGUAGGGGAACCUUAAGGGUUCAGUUUUUGCAUUUUUUUCUCCUUUUUCAAUUUUUAUUUUUGCUACUUAAUUCCUGAAAUAUUGAUUUGCUUGCCAAGUAAGACUAUUUUUCAGCUUCUAGGAAGCUUGCUAGAUUAGUUAUUGAAAGAUUCCCAAGGUAGACUACCCUUAAAACCCCUAUUAUUUCCCCUCAGCAGACCACAUGGGUCAAUUUUGACCCAAAACUUAAAUAAAAAAUGAAUGGGUUUCUCUUGAAAAUGAGUCUGAAAAUCCCAAACCCAAACGACUUAGUUCAAGGAAUUUUGAUUUUUCUUCAGGGAACCCAAAUGGAUAUGGGUCAAAAUGACCCAAUGUUCCCCAAUAACAAAGCUUGAACUAAACCCCUUCCUUUUACACCCAAGUCCAAUUCAGAAAAAAAAAAGAAAAAUAUAAAAGUCAGAACAAAUAAUAAACAAAGUGCUUUGGAAUCAAACAGACUUCUGAACCAACUGGUCCCUUUAGAUCAAAAGUAAAAUAAAAUCAAACAAAUUAAACCAAAAUUUAAGGAAAUACCAAUUAACGAUUAGCCUGGAUUAAAGGGACACAUGCAGAGGUGAUUUUGAUAAAACAGAUGAAGAGAAGAAAAAUAGAUACAGUAAAGAAUAAAAUGAAAUAUAAAAUGACAAAAGAAAUCAUGCAAGACUAGCAAAUGAACAGAAAUACCUAGAAAUGAUGGCAGACCUUGAAGUUCUUCCUUAAUCUCUCGAUUUUGACCAAAAGGGGUCUCAAUCAUUUGUUCUCGAAUGAAAACACACGAACAAGGUCCGUUUUCGUUCUGUCACCAAAUCUGUCGAUUUUUAGAGUUUGUCCUUUAAGGUCUCAACUUCAAUUUAAUUCUCGAUGUGCUCAGGGCAUAUUCGAGGGAAAAUAACUACACAUUUGGAACGAAAGGGGGUUUGGAGGUCAUAUGGUGUUAGUUUGGGAUCGAAUGGUGGCAGUGCCGCCACCGGAGAAAGUUGGGUGGUGCUAGGGUUCCGCCCUUUGAUCUAAAAUUUGAGGUGUUUCAAAGGGUUUUGAGAUGAAUAGAAUGAAGAUUUGGGAUGGGAGGUGGAGGAGAAGCAGUGGUGUAAUUUUUGAAGUGAUUGGUCGAUGGACGCCGCCGUGGGCAAUUUCCGACAAGCGGCAGAUGGUGGUUUAAGGUGGCGUUUUGCUGGGGUAUAUAAGGGUGAAGUGAGAGACGACGGAGGGGGGGAGGUAAGAGAUGGGUUUGGACAUAUAAGUAUAUACUGACCUAUCAGUUCAGGAUCAUUAGAUUAGAAGAAAUCGACGGUCGAGAUUGGAUAGUUGUGAAACGGGGUCGU
This 2475-nucleotide long non-coding RNA is filed under the name Nicotiana benthamiana. Its description in RNAcentral is "long non-coding RNA (NBEN_LNC021466)". Lineage: Eukaryota; Viridiplantae; Streptophyta; Magnoliopsida; Solanales; Solanaceae. The record is from RNAcentral.